This 730-nucleotide long non-coding RNA is filed under the name Gallus gallus (chicken). Its description in RNAcentral is "lncRNA (ENSGALG00010002731.1)". The record is from RNAcentral. Lineage: Eukaryota; Metazoa; Chordata; Aves; Galliformes; Phasianidae.
AAUAAAACAUUUUGUCAUUUUAAUAACUGUGGAAAGUCAGACAGCACUGGAACUCUGUCUAAUGAUUGCAUUACCCAUAAGAAAACUUUGAGCUUAAGAGUAUUAUUAAAGGGAGUCUAUUAAAACUCUGUUUCCAAAAUGUGAAAAGGACCGUAAACCCACACAGACCCUAGUGGCUUCAGUGCGAUUUGAUAUAGGUGAUAUAGGUACAAGAUACCACUGAGUUAGAAGGCUCCAGGGAUACCUCACUGUGGCCUUCCAAUACUUGAAGGGAGCAUAUAAACAGGAGAGAGAAUGGCUGUUUACGGGGGUGGAUAGUGAUAGGACAGGGGGGAAUGGUUUUAAACUGAGACAGGGGAGGAUUAGGUUGGAUAUUAGGAAGAAGUUUUUCACACAGAGGGUGGUGACACACUGGAACAGGUUGCCCAAGGAGGUUGUGGAUGCCCCAUCCCUUGGAGGCAUUCAAGGCCAGACUGGAUGUGGCUCUGGGCAGCCUGGUCUGGUGGUUGGUGACCCUGCACAUAGCAGGGGGGUUGAAAGUCGAUGAUCAUUGUCCUUUUCAACCCAGGCCAUUCUAUGACUCUAUAAUUCUAUGAUUAGAAACUCUGAAGUUGGUUUCAGAAAUCAUAGCUUUCACAGGAUUUACAUUUCACCUCUACAGGCUAACCACCCACUCUGAAUAAGGGCUAGUUCCAUUAUUAAAACUUUUAACCUAUGCUUAAAUCAAUUU